RNAcentral lists this ribosomal RNA (460 nucleotides) under uncultured bacterium. RNAcentral describes it as "partial 16S ribosomal RNA". It matches the Rfam family "Bacterial small subunit ribosomal RNA", at positions 338 to 795 of the family's 1533-position model. The record is from RNAcentral.
CCUACGGGAGGCAGCAGUGAGGAAUAUUGGUCAAUGGGCGUAAGCCUGAACCAGCCAAGUCGCGUGAGGGAUGAAGGUUCUAUGGAUUGUAAACCUCUUUUAUAAGGGAGUAAAGUGCGGGACGCGUCCUAUUCUGUAUGUACCUUAUGAAUAAGGAUCGGCUAACUCCGUGCCAGCAGCCGCGGUAAUACGGAGGAUGCGAGCGUUAUCCGGAUUUAUUGGGUUUAAAGGGUGCGUAGGCGGCCUUUUAAGUCAGCGGUGAAAGUCUGUGGCUCAACCAUAGAAUAGCCGUUGAAACUGGGUGGCUUGAGUGUGUUAGAGGCAGGCGGAAUGCGUGGUGUAGCGGUGAAAUGCUUAGAUAUCACGCAGAACCCCGAUUGCGAAGGCAGCCUACCGGGGCUUGACUGACGCUGAUGCACGAAAGCGUGGGGAUCGAACAGGAUUAGAUACCCCAGUAGUC